Molecule: ribosomal RNA, 500 nt
Filed under: uncultured bacterium
Lineage: Bacteria
Description: partial 16S ribosomal RNA
Rfam family: Bacterial small subunit ribosomal RNA
Source: RNAcentral
GAUGAACGCUAGCGGAAUGCUUUACACAUGCAAGUCGAACGGCAGCACGGACUUCGGUCUGGUGGCGAGUGGCGAACGGGUGAGUAAUGUAUCGGAACGUGCCCAGUCGUGGGGGAUAACGUAGUGAAAAUUACGCUAAUACCGCAUACGCUCUAUGGAUGAAAGCGGGGGAUCGCAAGACCUCGCGCGAUUGGAGCGGCCGAUAUCAGAUUAGGUAGUUGGUGGGGUAAAGGCCCACCAAGCCAACGAUCUGUAGAUGGUCUGAGAGGACGACCAGCCACACUGGAACUGGGGCGCGGUCCAGACUCCUACGGGAGGCAGCAGUGGGGGAUUUUGGACAAUGGGCGAAAGCCUGAUCCAGCCAUUCCGCGUGCAGGAUGAAGGCCCUCGGGUUGUAAACUGCUUUUGUACAGAACGAAAAGGUUUCUACUAAUACUAGGAGCUCAUGACGGUACUGUAAGAAUAAGCACCGGCUAACUACGUGCCAGCCGCCGCGGUAA